This is a non-coding RNA of Doryrhamphus excisus (bluestripe pipefish), 3076 nucleotides long. The record is from RefSeq and is a predicted model, not a curated record. NCBI's taxonomy places the organism in Eukaryota, Metazoa, Chordata, Actinopteri, Syngnathiformes, Syngnathidae.
GGUACGUGAACGAAUCGUUCAACGAACGUGAACAUUAGUGAAUGGACUGACUCGAUACGGCCGACCGGGUCUACCAAAAUAACCCAAAUGAAUGAAAUGAACGGAUCUUUUUACUGAAUAAACCGGAAUGAUCCGGUUCACUGAAAUGAACGGGUUUGCCCACCACAACACAAUAGCAUUAGUGUGAAAUUUACAUUCAUGGAGAGCAUCACUCCGAAUAAAUCAUCUUAGUUUGUUGACACGUGAUAACUUAUAAAGCUUUGUCUCUCAGUGAAUGCUAAUCUCGUCUCUGAGCAUCAUACAUAUCAGUGAUUUUGUGUCGUAUUUUUGAUGCAUGGCGUGUAAGAUAAUUAGUAUUUGAUGAAUGGCGUUAAUGUAAAUGCUAUUCUGACGGCACGCAUGCUGCCUCCGGGGGAUUUGGCGGCGCAUCGUAGAGAUGAAUGCUGAGAGAAACGACAAGCGAAAAGUGAUGAUGAAGGCAUCCGAGGAAGAAGUAAAUGUGCCAACCAUUAGUAAGAUGACGUGGAGGUAAUAUUACUACAUUUGGCAACACACCUGCUGCGGCUAAUAUGAGCAGAGCCAGGAAAGUUAAUGUUAUAAACGAAGGCAUUCGGUGUCAUGGAUGAUGGAUGGCGAGGACCUCUAUACGUCAGUUUACAGCGUUGUAUCCGGAUGUCUUCAAGCAGGCGACGUCUCAUGAUGACUUUUAACUGCUCAUCAGUGUCACCUCGAGGAGGAAGUGGAAAUCGAAAUCGUCAUCGAUGACUUUGACCAAAUGCGAGAAAAGAGGAAGGGCGAGAAGGUGGAUUUCAUCAUAAUUCUCCCACACCGUAAAGUAAGACGCUUGCAUAACAUCUCUACCGGUAAAAUGCAUGAAAAUGACUGGAGGUUUGGGAUUAGCAUUUAGCAUUAGCAUGGCAGCACAAAAAACCCAGCAGUCUUUUCAUUUUAGGACUUUUUUCGGUUUCAAUCAGGACCUUUUCUGCUUCCAGUGACCUAUGACCUCCUCACAAAUGGACAAUUCCUACAGACACAUUCAUUUUUUACUAAAGUUUUUCCAGUAGGUCCUAAUGAACAGCAUAUUUCUCCACUUAUAUAGAGGAUCUUUGACUAGUGCUUUCGGUAGGUCCAUGUACUAAUAGAGGAUCUUUGACAAGCAUUUUUGGAGUCGGUCCUUAAAAACAGCAGCACUCUCCUGUCAUGUAGCGAAUUUUUUUUUUGUUUUUGCGGUAGGUCCUUAAAAGCAGCUAAGGUCCAGUCAUAUAAAGGAUCUUGGACUAGCGUUUUUUUCUUAAGUAGGUCCCUAAAACAGCAUAUAGCAUACAGAGGAUCUUACUAGCAUUUUAGUAGUAAAGUAGAUUCCUAGCAUUGUGUUCUUGUCACAUAGAGCAUCUUUGAUUAGUCAUAUAGAGGAUCUUUGACUAGUAUUUUUUGCAGUUGGUCCUUAAAAAAAAUAUUCAGUUCCUUCAGUUCUGUGCAGGAUCUUUGACUGCAGAGGUCCGUAAAAAAAACAGCAGUGCUCACCUGUUAUAUAGAGGAUCUUUGAAUAGUGUUUUUUUGUUUUUUUGUUUUUUUUUAGAGUAGGUCCGUCAAAGAUUCAUAGCAUAAUCUUCUUGUCAUAUAGAGCAUCUUUGACUAGCUUUUGUGUAAUUGGUAUUCAAAUAACAGCAGAGUCGUCCUGUCAUAUAGAGGAUCUUUGACUAGUGUUUUUUUUGUUUGUUUUGUUUUUGGAGUAGGUUCCAUCAACGCUGCAGUGGUCCUGUAUAUAAAGGAUCUUUGACAAGCUUAAAAACACCAUACUCUCCUGUCAUACCAACACUCCUGUCAUAUUGAGGAUCUUUGACUAGUGUUUUUGCAGUUGACCCCCCUCCAGUCUCCAGUCAUGUAAAGGAUCUUUGGCUAGCGUUUUUUUUUUUUUUUUUUUGAGUAGGUCCUUCAAAGCUGCAAUGGAGUGGUCCUGUAUAUAAAGAAUCUUUGACAAGCUUUUUUUGCAUUCAAGCUUAAAAACAGCAUAACACUCCUGUCAUAUUGAGGAUCUUUGACUAGUGUUUUUACAGUUGGUCCUAUAGAAAAACUGUAGACCCCAGAAUCUUUGACUAGCAGUAGGUCCUUUAAAACAACAUAGCCCUACUGUCAUGUAGGUUAUUUUUUGUAGUAGAGCUAAAAAUAACAACAUUUACUCCUAUGAAAUAAACCAGCAGAUGCAUCCUGUCACAUCGAGGAUCUUGAUUCAGUUUUUUUGUAGUCGUCAUCGGUCUUUAAAAACAACAAAGCCCUCCUGUCCAAUAGAGAAUCUCUCCCUACUGUUUAUGUAGUCGUCAUGUCCAGUAUAUGCCCCAUGUCCUCGUCCAUGACAUGGUUAAUAGCUCACCAUGUCAUCGCCUCUGACAAAAAAGGUUAAUUUUUAAGCGUGUUGGCAUUGAUAGCGUGGUGGGAAAACAGUGUGAUUGCAGUGUAGGUUUGUAGUGCAGUGAGUAACCUUUGAGAAGGAUUUGUGUAGUAAUGUCUCCAUGAUCUGUGAGGGCGUGGCUGUGUUGUCGUCUGCUGGUUGUUGGUGAUAACACAACAUACAGUAGCAAUACCACGCCAGUAGACAGGAGCAUCCAUCCUUUCCAUCAUGUAGAAAAGCAUGAAUAUACCAUCAUAUUCAUCAUAUCAUAUUCCAAUAUAGCACGAUAUAGUCAAUGCUUUAUCAGCUUCAAAUGGAAGUGUCUUAUCAUCAUGUUAGCUCAUCAAACUGCAGGUAGUAAAAUAAUACCAGAUUGCGCUUUAUGGACGUGCAAUAAAAACGUCUAAUGAAAAGCGGAAGCGGACAAUAGUGAGGCAAAGCCGAUGAGAAAGAGGUGCUUUUUCAGAAGGAUUAAUCUUUGCUUACAUGAAUUAAUCAUUUCAGCACUCAUUUUCUAUUUUGAGCUUUGCAUUUGGAGCAUUGCCAUUAUGCAACCUGCGUUUGUGUGAGUGUGACACCGCUCACAUUUCAGCACGCAUUUUAAGACAUUAUGUCUUCUCAGGAGAAAUGGAUGCACGAGUGCUGUUGACAGUAGGGGAGCUGCGGUUCAUUGAAGGAGAACUUGUA